Amblyraja radiata (thorny skate) is the source of this 336-nucleotide long non-coding RNA. RefSeq lists it as uncharacterized. The record is from RefSeq and is a predicted model, not a curated record. The transcript has 3 exons. NCBI's taxonomy places the organism in Eukaryota, Metazoa, Chordata, Chondrichthyes, Rajiformes, Rajidae.
UCCAUGCUGUAUGAAUCUAAUUGUUUGGUAAUUAAACCUAAGAAUUUGCACAAGGCCAAAAAUGAAAGAGUGCAGCUAUUACCAAGAGUUCUAAAGCUGGGGGAAAUUACAGAGGCAGAGAGAAGGGAAGCCAUGAAGGAUUUGAAAACAUGCUAAGAAUUGAAACCUUGCAAGACAAGGGGCCAAUGUUGGCCAACAAGCGAAGGACAAUAAAUGAAUGAGACUAGGUAUGAGUUAGGUCAAAAUCAGCCGAACUUUAGAGCAUCUCAAACUUACAUAGGUUGCGCGAUGCAAUGUCAGCAAGGAGACUAUUGGAACUCUUGUUGCAACAAUUGU